UCCUAUUGAGAACAAUGCUACUUAAGUGUUACAAAGUGAGACUAUGAGACUAUUUUGCAUUAAUACAUCUUUUCCUGAAAGAUUAUGUGUGGCUUGACUUUGGUUUGGUAGGAAAAGUUCAGUUAACCCAGAAGAACACAUACAUCCAUUCACUAAUUUGUAGAUUUAGGUGCCCUUGACCAUACAGAAAACUUGUUUAUUCAGUUAGGACUCGAGUUACAGUUUGGUGUUUAUUUCUUGACUUUCAUGAACAGAUGGACUUAUUUUGAGUCAUUUGCCAAAUGGUCCAACUGCUCAUUUUAAAAUGAGUAGUGUUCGUCUUCGUAAAGAAAUUAAGCGACGAGGCAAAGACCCCACAGAACAUGUACCUGAGAUAAUUCUAAACAACUUUACCACACGGCUAGGUCACUCUAUCGGACGUAUGUUUGCUUCUCUCUUUCCUCAUAACCCUCAAUUUAUUGGAAGACAAGUUGCCACGUUCCACAAUCAGCGGGAUUACAUCUUCUUCAGGUUUCACAGAUACAUAUUCAAGAGUGAAAAGAAGGUGGGAAUUCAGGAACUUGGA
RNAcentral lists this long non-coding RNA (565 nucleotides) under Rattus norvegicus (Norway rat). Its description in RNAcentral is "long non-coding RNA NONRATT016938". Lineage: Eukaryota; Metazoa; Chordata; Mammalia; Rodentia; Muridae. The record is from RNAcentral.